RNAcentral lists this transfer RNA (72 nucleotides) under bacterium. RNAcentral's name for it is "tRNA-Arg". It matches the Rfam family "tRNA". Rfam says of the family: Transfer RNA (tRNA) molecules are approximately 80 nucleotides in length. Their secondary structure includes four short double-helical elements and three loops (D, anti-codon, and T loops). RNAcentral also lists the same sequence under 1 other name. The record is from RNAcentral.
GUCUUCGUAGUGAAACGGAUAUCACGCUUGGCUUCGAACCAAGUAAUCCAGGUUCGAAUCCUGGCGAAGGCA